This 1470-nucleotide unclassified non-coding RNA is filed under the name uncultured fungus. RNAcentral's name for it is "sequence contains 18S rRNA gene, ITS1, 5.8S rRNA gene, ITS2, 28S rRNA gene". The stretch from base 526 to 1470 matches the Rfam family "Eukaryotic large subunit ribosomal RNA", at positions 1 to 961 of the family's 3401-position model. The record is from RNAcentral. Lineage: Eukaryota; Fungi.
GGAAGGAUCAUUACCGAGUGCGGGUCCUUUGGGCCCAACCUCCCAUCCGUGUCUAUUAUACCCUGUUGCUUCGGCGGGCCCGCCGCUUGUCGGCCGCCGGGGGGGCGCCUUAGCCCCCCGGGCCCGUGCCCGCCGGAGACCCCAACACGAACACUGUCUGAAAGCGUGCAGUCUGAGUUGAUUGAAUGCAAUCAGUUAAAACUUUCAACAAUGGAUCUCUUGGUUCCGGCAUCGAUGAAGAACGCAGCGAAAUGCGAUAACUAAUGUGAAUUGCAGAAUUCAGUGAAUCAUCGAGUCUUUGAACGCACAUUGCGCCCCCUGGUAUUCCGGGGGGCAUGCCUGUCCGAGCGUCAUUGCUGCCCUCAAGCCCGGCUUGUGUGUUGGGUCGCCGUCCCCCUCUCCGGGGGGACGGGCCCGAAAGGCAGCGGCGGCACCGCGUCCGAUCCUCGAGCGUAUGGGGCUUUGUCACAUGCUCUGUAGGAUUGGCCGGCGCCUGCCGACGUUUUCCAACCAUUUUUUCCAGGUUGACCUCGGAUCAGGUAGGGAUACCCGCUGAACUUAAGCAUAUCAAUAAGCGGAGGAAAAGAAACCAACCGGGAUUGCCUCAGUAACGGCGAGUGAAGCGGCAAGAGCUCAAAUUUGAAAGCUGGCUCCUUCGGAGUCCGCAUUGUAAUUUGCAGAGGAUGCUUUGGGUGCGGCCCCCGUCUAAGUGCCCUGGAACGGGCCGUCAGAGAGGGUGAGAAUCCCGUCUUGGGCGGGGUGUCCGUGCCCGUGUAAAGCUCCUUCGACGAGUCGAGUUGUUUGGGAAUGCAGCUCUAAAUGGGUGGUAAAUUUCAUCUAAAGCUAAAUACUGGCCGGAGACCGAUAGCGCACAAGUAGAGUGAUCGAAAGAUGAAAAGCACUUUGAAAAGAGAGUUAAACAGCACGUGAAAUUGUUGAAAGGGAAGCGCUUGCGACCAGACUCGCCCGCGGGGUUCAGCCGGCAUUCGUGCCGGUGUACUUCCCCGUGGGCGGGCCAGCGUCGGUUUGGGCGGCCGGUCAAAGGCCCCUGGAAUGUAGUACCCUCCGGGGUACCUUAUAGCCAGGGGUGCAAUGCGGCCAGCCUGGACCGAGGAACGCGCUUCGGCACGGACGCUGGCAUAAUGGUCGUAAACGACCCGUCUUGAAACACGGACCAAGGAGUCUAACAUCUACGCGAGUGUUCGGGUGUCAAACCCGUGCGCGCAGUGAAAGCGAACGGAGGUGGGAGCCCCCUCGCGGGGCGCACCAUCGACCGAUCCUGAUGUCUUCGGAUGGAUUUGAGUAAGAGCGUAAAUGUGGGGACCCGAAAGAUGGUGAACUAUGCCUGAAUAGGGCGAAGCCAGAGGAAACUCUGGUGGAGGCUCGCAGCGGUUCUGACGUGCAAAUCGAUCGUCAAAUUUGGGUAUAGGGGCGAAAGACUAAUCGAACCAUCUAGUAGCUGGUUCCUGC